AAUGGCUACUUGCAAAGGAGUCCAUCUUGUCUGAUAGGCCAGUUCACUAUGGGAUUUUUCUUGACUUAACAGUGAUACUCACACAAAGAGGACCAUUGACACUGCCGAGUGAUAUCUUCUUCAGAGGUGCACAAAGUCAUCGGCUUCACCCUCUCUUCCAGGGUCAUCGAAGUCCAGUGGCAAGACAAAGGUGAAGACAUUAAUGACAUCAAAAAGUGUUCCUCAUUCUCCCUGCUUCUCCUCAAAACUAUGACACCUUUUAAAACAGUGAGACAUCCAUGACCGUGUCUGUUAUCCUCCACCACAACAAUUGGGACACUUGAAAAGAUGUCCUCAGUGUCACCUUGGCCACCCCUGGAGCUUUGCCACAACAACGUUUCGCAAGCGAUUUAGCUUUGGUGUAUCAGAGAUAUGGAGAUCCAUUAGAAACUCCAGAGGAAAGUAAGGGUCUGCUGAUAUCGAAACUUCCUUCCCCUGAUACCAUUCCCAUUUCUCCUACCACAUACUGUGACUCUUACCCAAGAAGCAACU
Sarcophilus harrisii (Tasmanian devil) is the source of this 531-nucleotide long non-coding RNA. RefSeq lists it as uncharacterized. The transcript has 4 exons. Lineage: Eukaryota; Metazoa; Chordata; Mammalia; Dasyuromorphia; Dasyuridae. The record is from RefSeq and is a predicted model, not a curated record.